AACAAAGAGUGCAAACGUUGUUCGGAAUUACUGGGCGUAAAACGCAUGUAGGCUGCUCGGAAAGUCGGAUGUGAAAGCCCUGGGCUCAACCCAGGAAGUGCACUCGAAACUCCCGAGCUGGAGUUCUGGAGAGGAAAACGGAAUUCUCGAUGUAGAGGUGAAAUUCGUAGAUAUCGAGAGGAACAUCGGUGGCAAAGACAGCCUUCUGGACAGAAACUGACACUGAGACGCGAAAGCGUAAAAAACAAACAGG
This 253-nucleotide ribosomal RNA is filed under the name uncultured bacterium. Its description in RNAcentral is "partial 16S ribosomal RNA". It matches the Rfam family "Bacterial small subunit ribosomal RNA", at positions 524 to 776 of the family's 1533-position model. The record is from RNAcentral.